GCAGGACAUUUCGUUCCACUGUAUGCACUUGAACUUGAAGUUGAACUUGAAAGUUGUGGCACAUGUCGUCUCCACAGUAUGUUCCUCAAAACAUGAGGAUGGAAAGGAUCGGUCAGGGAUGAAAGACAGAAACUGUGACAUCAUGUAUUUAAAUGGCACUCCACCCGCAACAGAUGGAACAACGUUUGUCUUUCUUAAGGUUUAGUGUGAGUGUUUUGACCCGUCUUACUGGCCUGACCUCAGAUGCCUGCUUGCCUUAUCUUUAUUGCAGAGAUUAUUGUUAUAAUACUAGUCAUAUCAGAGGUUUUGUGUAGACUGGAAAUAUUUUGUGCUUCUGUUAGGACUUCUCUCCAUGAAAAAUCUUCUGUAGCGCCAAGAUCACAUCUGUGAAUCCAAAGUGUCUCAAUGACAAACGAUAACAUAAAUGUUUAGGCUGUUGCAAGUAAAACUUCCUUUUAUUGUUUUGAACCCAUAUAUUGACAGUUUUGAUCAAGUUGCUCUCAUUUUGUCCUAGUAUUAUUGUAACACCUCGUCUAUGAAGAUACAGUGUAUGACUUGGAGUAUGAAGGAGCGAUAAUUCACUGUGGAAAAUCUUACAGACAUUAAAGAAGCAUGUAUGAGCUUGCUUUAAUGAUAUGUUACAAAACCUUUACCAGCUCUGAACUACAGUAGUGACUGCUAUCAAAGAAAAAACAAAGUAUUUAAAAGAAAUAAAAUNUGUGUGUGUGUGUGUGUAGGUCUAUAUAUAUACUGAAAUGAAGGCAGGCGGAGCUCAUAUCGACAGUGGGCUUCUAUUAUAAGUAUUUGUUUUGGUCACAGACUCCUUCAGUUCUUAAGUUGUCCGUGAAUAUGGCGCUUGUUUGGAGCAGCAUACUCAUACUUGUGUUUGUGCACUUUGCCGUGUCUCAAAGAUAUGUUCCCUCUCGAUGUGGCAAACCAACCAAAUAUCCUGACAAGCAGCUGCACAGAAAACAUCUCCAAAGAGUAGAGUUCAAUCAUGGAGAAAUAGUGUUGUAUAUAUGUGCCCCGGGUUACGAACCAUUCGCAGGAAGUCGAACAUCACAGUGUGUGCACGGAAAAUGGAAAACCUUGAACAUGGAAUGCCAAAGUAAGAUACAUCUGUUUAUCUGUCUCUAAAAUAUCUCUUUUAUUGAUUCAUUGUACUCCACAUUUUCAUAUUUUCUCAUUUAUUCUCUCAGAGAAGAAGUGCAAUGCGCUUGGUGACAUAGAGAACGGGCGAUACGAUCAAGAAGGGCGAUCAUUGGGUGAUAAAGCCAUUGCUGUGUGUAAUGAAGGGUAUUUGAAUCUUUUUUUCUUGUUUUUUAAGUCUGCAGUCCAUAAAUUGGUGAAAACAUGGUUCAUUGAUAAUAAAUAGAAAAGGUAGAAUAAAUGUUUUUGACUU
Molecule: long non-coding RNA, 1402 nt
Organism: Cyprinus carpio (common carp)
Lineage: Eukaryota; Metazoa; Chordata; Actinopteri; Cypriniformes; Cyprinidae
Source: Ensembl